GCGGGCGUGGCGGAAUUGGUAGACGCGCUAGACUUAGGAUCUAGUGCCGCAAGGUGUGAGAGUUCGAGUCUCUCCGCCCGCA
RNAcentral lists this transfer RNA (82 nucleotides) under Sediminibacterium sp. RNAcentral's name for it is "tRNA-Leu". It matches the Rfam family "tRNA". Rfam says of the family: Transfer RNA (tRNA) molecules are approximately 80 nucleotides in length. Their secondary structure includes four short double-helical elements and three loops (D, anti-codon, and T loops). RNAcentral also lists the same sequence under 2 other names. Lineage: Bacteria; Pseudomonadati; Bacteroidota; Chitinophagia; Chitinophagales; Chitinophagaceae. The record is from RNAcentral.